GUCUACGGCCAUGCUACCCUAAACAAGCCCGAUCCAGAGAUGGAAGCUAAGCAGGGUCGGGCCUGGUUAGUACUUGGAUGGGAGACCACUUAGGAAGACCGGUGCUGUAAGCG
This 113-nucleotide ribosomal RNA is filed under the name Pteropus alecto (black flying fox). The record is from RNAcentral. Lineage: Eukaryota; Metazoa; Chordata; Mammalia; Chiroptera; Pteropodidae.